Pangasius djambal is the source of this 74-nucleotide non-coding RNA. NCBI's taxonomy places the organism in Eukaryota, Metazoa, Chordata, Actinopteri, Siluriformes, Pangasiidae. The record is from the annotation of a GenBank genome assembly.
GGCAGCGGUGGCUCAGUGGUUAAGAUAUCAGCCUCCUGCUCAGAUGGUCAUGAGUUCAAUCCCCAGCACCGCCA